Molecule: ribosomal RNA, 207 nt
Filed under: uncultured bacterium
Lineage: Bacteria
Description: partial 16S ribosomal RNA
Rfam family: Bacterial small subunit ribosomal RNA
Source: RNAcentral
CGCGUAGGCGGUUACAUGAGUUGGAGGUGAAAUCCCCGGGCUCAACCUGGGAACUGCUUUCAAAACUGUGUGACUUGAGUACAGCAGAGGAUAGUGGAAUUUCUAGUGUAGCGGUGAAAUGCGUAGAUAUUAGAAGGAACACCAGUGGCGAAGGCGACUGUCUGGGCUGAUACUGACGCUGAGGUGCGAAAGCGUGGGGAGCAAACA